GAGUUUUCAAUGACCAGAGACGCUGCAGAGGGGUCUCUGGCAGAUUCCUGCUGGGUUCCAUGUGAAGCAGCAUCGUACUGUUUUUUUCUCCUGAGCGCUGCAUGUAACAGCUGUUCUGUAGAAGGACACAGAGGCCAUCCAGUGAAAGAGGUUUAAAUGAUGCCAGUGGAAUCCAUCCAUCUUCCCUGCAAGCCCAGCAUUCCCAGGAAUGUACCUUCUAACACACUUCUACCUGCCUGGUAACAGCAUGGUGGGAAAAUCCGUCUUCCUUUUCCUUCCUUCCUUCCUUCCUUCCUUCCUUCC
RNAcentral lists this long non-coding RNA (303 nucleotides) under Homo sapiens (human). Its description in RNAcentral is "non-protein coding lnc-ZNF365-3:1". The record is from RNAcentral. Lineage: Eukaryota; Metazoa; Chordata; Mammalia; Primates; Hominidae.